UUGCGGCCGAGAGCAUCCCAACCACUACCAUCUUCAUCAAUUUUCACUCUUCUUCUCCAAGUUAAACUCUAAUCUUCAAACGUAAGUUCUUCCAAGUGUUCUUGAAGUUUUGAUCUUCAAAUCUUCAAAGUGUUCGUGAAGUGUUCUUGACUUGAAACUUCCCAUGUACAACCGUCCAUUCAUAAAGAAAACACACAUAAGGUAUUAAUACGAAGACAUAUUGCACAGAGAGAUUUAAAGGAGAUAUAAAUCAAUCGUGUAAUUAAAUGUAAGUUCUGUUUAUGCUUAUAUGUCUGUAUCGGAACAUGACAUCCCGAGGUUUUAUUAUUAAAUGAAAAUACAUUCUCUUUGAGAAAUGUUUUGAUAAGUUAUUAUCAUAUUUUGUUUUGGGAACAAAUUCUGCAACUGUUUUCUUUAAAAGAA
Molecule: long non-coding RNA, 423 nt
Organism: Lactuca sativa (garden lettuce)
Lineage: Eukaryota; Viridiplantae; Streptophyta; Magnoliopsida; Asterales; Asteraceae
Source: RefSeq, a predicted model, not a curated record